This 494-nucleotide long non-coding RNA is filed under the name Malus domestica (apple). RNAcentral's name for it is "long non-coding RNA (MDOM_LNC003026)". The record is from RNAcentral. Lineage: Eukaryota; Viridiplantae; Streptophyta; Magnoliopsida; Rosales; Rosaceae.
CAAGUUAUAGGGAAUUUGAGAUUCAGGACACACAAAAAUUCAGUGGUUCGCAUAAGCGAGUCAACGAGUUUUCAUGGCAGUAACGAUCUUGAGUUCUCUCACUUUCUUGCUAAAAACACAUCUUUUUUCUGGAAAAUUUGAAAUGAUGAGCUUUUGUCGAUGAAAAAACAGUUAAUAUAUUUGGUGUUAAUUAGAAGAAAAUUUGAAGGCAGUAAAAGGUAGUGUUUCUUAGUGCCGAUUUGGGGGUGGGUAAUUCUCUGCUCUGAAUAUGAUGUAUUUAGUAGUGUAAAUUUUAAUUUAUGAAUGGGGUUUUUUGUUUAAAUUUUGUUAUUGUGAUUUGGGGGAUUUUGUUUGUAGCUUUGGAUUUCCCAUCAUGGUGUUUAAUUGUUUUAUUUUUGGCUUUAGGAAAUCAUGGUUCUUUGGAUUUGGGGCUUUUGUUUGCAGCCUUCAGAUCCCUAUCUAUUUAAGGCGAGUGAUUUCAAGAUUUUAGAGUU